AACGCACAUUGCGCCUCUCGGUAUUCCGGGAGGCACGCCUGUUCGAGCGCCAUUACACACUCCAAGCCAUGCUUGAUGUUGGGCGAUGCGGCAGAUCACUGCUGCACGCCUGGAACGCGUGGGCGCCCGCCGCCGGACCACGAGCGUAGCACGAAACUGACCUUGGUCAAUUUUUCGCUCUGUGGGCUUCCGACGGGAGGGUAGUCAAAACCAAAACUUUUUACAAGAGUUUGGCCUCGGAUCAGGCGGGGAUACCCGCUGAACUUAA
Molecule: unclassified non-coding RNA, 268 nt
Filed under: uncultured fungus
Lineage: Eukaryota; Fungi
Description: sequence contains ITS2
Source: RNAcentral